AGAUCUGCUUGUACAGUAGCAAGCAGGGUAAUAAAAAGAAAUACUGUUAUUAAGA
Small RNA from Peptostreptococcaceae bacterium AS15, 55 nucleotides. It matches the Rfam family "6A RNA". From Rfam's summary of the family: Actinobacteria (1 example), Firmicutes, Fusobacteria. Lineage: Bacteria; Bacillati; Bacillota; Clostridia; Peptostreptococcales; Peptostreptococcaceae. The record is from Rfam.